AGUCAGCCCUGCUGCCAGCCAGUGCCGGGUGCUGGGGACUCAGGGAGGCCCGCCGGGACCACUGCGGGACAGUGAGCCGAGCAGAAGCUGGAACGCAGGAGAGGAAGGAGAGGGGGCGGUCAGGGCUCUCAGGAGCCGGGUCCUGGGCAAGGCGCAGCCGUUUUCAAAUUUUCAGGAAAGCGGUCGGCUCACACUCGAGCAGUAAAAAGAUGCCUCUGGGGAGGAGGCCCGUGCAGCUCUCCGGGCAAUGGUGGUGGCUCGGCCUAGAGAGGCGGUAGUGGAACGCAGACCCUGGUGGGGGAAUGACAUCAAGGGAGGAGACGGGCGGGACCCCAGAUUUCUGCCUGUGGGCGAUGGAAGUGAGGUUCACUGGCCAGCGGAGCCGGACACAGAACGCGCAAAACGCCGUGUAGGCCUGGAGGAGCCGAAGAGCAGGCGGACCCCCUCCGCGGGGGAACAGUUUCCGCCGGGAGCACAAAGCAACGGACCGGAAGUGGGGGGCGGAAGUGCAGUGGGCUCAGCGCCGACUGCGCGCCUCUGCCCGCGAAAACUCUGAGCUGGCUGACAGCUGGGGACGGGUGGCGGCCCUCGACUGGAGUCGGUUGAGUUCCUGAGGGACCCCGGUUCUGGAAGGUUCGCCGCGGAGACAAGUGAGCAGUCUGUGCCAUAGGGAUUCUCGAAGAGAACAGCGUUGUGUCCCAGUGCACAUGCUCGCAUCGCUUACCAGGAGUGCCCGAGACCCUAAGAUGUUCGGAGUGGUUUUUUCGCACAGACCCGAAUAGCCUGCCCCUCAGCCACGCUCUGUGCCCUUCUGAGAACAGGCUGAUAUGCCCAAGAUAGUCCUGAAUGGUGUGACCGUAGACUUCCCUUUCCAGCCCUACAAAUGCCAACAGGAGUACAUGACCAAGGUCCUGGAAUGUCUGCAGCAGAAGGUGAAUGGCAUCCUGGAGAGCCCUACGGGUACAGGGAAGACGCUGUGCCUGCUGUGCACCACGCUGGCCUGGCGAGAACACCUCCGAGACGGCAUCUCUGCCCGCAAGAUUGCCGAGAGGGCGCAAGGAGAGCUUUUCCCGGAUCGGGCCUUGUCAUCCUGGGGCAACGCUGCUGCUGCUGCUGGAGACCCCAUAGCUUGCUACACGGACAUCCCAAAGAUUAUUUACGCCUCCAGGACCCACUCGCAACUCACACAGGUCAUCAACGAGCUUCGGAACACCUCCUACCGGCCUAAGGUGUGUGUGCUGGGCUCCCGGGAGCAGCUGUGCAUCCAUCCUGAGGUGAAGAAACAAGAGAGUAACCAUCUACAGAUCCACUUGUGCCGUAAGAAGGUGGCAAGUCGCUCCUGUCAUUUCUACAACAACGUAGAAGAAAAAAGCCUGGAGCAGGAGCUGGCCAGCCCCAUCCUGGACAUUGAGGACUUGGUCAAGAGCGGAAGCAAGCACAGGGUGUGCCCUUACUACCUGUCCCGGAACCUGAAGCAGCAAGCCGACAUCAUAUUCAUGCCGUACAAUUACUUGUUGGAUGCCAAGAGCCGCAGAGCACACAACAUUGACCUGAAGGGGACAGUCGUGAUCUUUGACGAAGCUCACAACGUGGAGAAGAUGUGUGAAGAAUCGGCAUCCUUUGACCUGACUCCCCAUGACCUGGCUUCAGGACUGGACGUCAUAGACCAGGUGCUGGAGGAGCAGACCAAGGCAGCGCAGCAGGGUGAGCCCCACCCGGAGUUCAGCGCGGACUCCCCCAGCCCAGGGCUGAACAUGGAGCUGGAAGACAUUGCAAAGCUGAAGAUGAUCCUGCUGCGCCUGGAGGGGGCCAUCGAUGCUGUUGAGCUGCCUGGAGACGACAGCGGUGUCACCAAGCCAGGGAGCUACAUCUUUGAGCUGUUUGCUGAAGCCCAGAUCACGUUUCAGACCAAGGGCUGCAUCCUGGACUCGCUGGACCAGAUCAUCCAGCACCUGGCAGGACGUGCUGGAGUGUUCACCAACACGGCCGGACUGCAGAAGCUGGCGGACAUUAUCCAGAUUGUGUUCAGUGUGGACCCCUCCGAGGGCAGCCCUGGUUCCCCAGCAGGGCUGGGGGCCUUACAGUCCUAUAAGGUGCACAUCCAUCCUGAUGCUGGUCACCGGAGGACGGCUCAGCGGUCUGAUGCCUGGAGCACCACUGCAGCCAGAAAGCGAGGGAAGGUGCUGAGCUACUGGUGCUUCAGUCCCGGCCACAGCAUGCACGAGCUGGUCCGCCAGGGCGUCCGCUCCCUCAUCCUUACCAGCGGCACGCUGGCCCCGGUGUCCUCCUUUGCUCUGGAGAUGCAGAUCCCUUUCCCAGUCUGCCUGGAGAACCCACACAUCAUCGACAAGCACCAGAUCUGGGUGGGGGUCGUCCCCAGAGGCCCCGAUGGAGCCCAGUUGAGCUCCGCGUUUGACAGACGGUUUUCCGAGGAGUGCUUAUCCUCCCUGGGGAAGGCUCUGGGCAACAUCGCCCGCGUGGUGCCCUAUGGGCUCCUGAUCUUCUUCCCUUCCUAUCCUGUCAUGGAGAAGAGCCUGGAGUUCUGGCGGGCCCGCGACUUGGCCAGGAAGAUGGAGGCGCUGAAGCCGCUGUUUGUGGAGCCCAGGAGCAAAGGCAGCUUCUCCGAGACCAUCAGUGCUUACUAUGCAAGGGUUGCCGCCCCUGGGUCCACCGGCGCCACCUUCCUGGCGGUCUGCCGGGGCAAGGCCAGCGAGGGGCUGGACUUCUCAGACACGAAUGGCCGUGGUGUGAUUGUCACGGGCCUCCCGUACCCCCCACGCAUGGACCCCCGGGUUGUCCUCAAGAUGCAGUUCCUGGAUGAGAUGAAGGGCCAGGGUGGGGCUGGGGGCCAGUUCCUCUCUGGGCAGGAGUGGUACCGGCAGCAGGCGUCCAGGGCUGUGAACCAGGCCAUCGGGCGAGUGAUCCGGCACCGCCAGGACUACGGAGCUGUCUUCCUCUGUGACCACAGGUUCGCCUUUGCCGACGCAAGAGCCCAACUGCCCUCCUGGGUGCGUCCCCACGUCAGGGUGUAUGACAACUUUGGCCAUGUCAUCCGAGACGUGGCCCAGUUCUUCCGUGUUGCCGAGCGAACUAUGCCAGCGCCGGCCCCCCGGGCUACAGCACCCAGUGUGCGUGGAGAAGAUGCUGUCAGCGAGGCCAAGUCGCCUGGCCCCUUCUUCUCCACCAGGAAAGCUAAGAGUCUGGACCUGCAUGUCCCCAGCCUGAAGCAGAGGUCCUCAGGGUCACCAGCUGCCGGGGACCCCGAGAGUAGCCUGUGUGUGGAGUAUGAGCAGGAGCCAGUUCCUGCCCGGCAGAGGCCCAGGGGGCUGCUGGCCGCCCUGGAGCACAGCGAACAGCGGGCGGGGAGCCCUGGCGAGGAGCAGGCCCACAGCUGCUCCACCCUGUCCCUCCUGUCUGAGAAGAGGCCGGCAGAAGAACCGCGAGGAGGGAGGAAGAAGAUCCGGCUGGUCAGCCACCCGGAGGAGCCCGUGGCUGGUGCACAGACGGACAGGGCCAAGCUCUUCAUGGUGGCCGUGAAGCAGGAGUUGAGCCAAGCCAACUUUGCCACCUUCACCCAGGCCCUGCAGGACUACAAGGGUUCCGAUGACUUCGCCGCCCUGGCCGCCUGUCUCGGCCCCCUCUUUGCUGAGGACCCCAAGAAGCACAACCUGCUCCAAGGCUUCUACCAGUUUGUGCGGCCCCACCAUAAGCAGCAGUUUGAGGAGGUCUGUAUCCAGCUGACAGGACGAGGCUGUGGCUAUCGGCCUGAGCACAGCAUUCCCCGAAGGCAGCGGGCACAGCCGGUCCUGGACCCCACUGGAAGAACGGCGCCGGAUCCCAAGCUGACCGUGUCCACGGCUGCAGCCCAGCAGCUGGACCCCCAAGAGCACCUGAACCAGGGCAGGCCCCACCUGUCGCCCAGGCCACCCCCAACAGGAGACCCUGGCAGCCAACCACAGUGGGGGUCUGGAGUGCCCAGAGCAGGGAAGCAGGGCCAGCACGCCGUGAGCGCCUACCUGGCUGAUGCCCGCAGGGCCCUGGGGUCCGCGGGCUGUAGCCAACUCUUGGCAGCGCUGACAGCCUAUAAGCAAGACGACGACCUCGACAAGGUGCUGGCUGUGUUGGCCGCCCUGACCACUGCAAAGCCAGAGGACUUCCCCCUGCUGCACAGGUUCAGCAUGUUUGUGCGUCCACACCACAAGCAGCGCUUCUCACAGACGUGCACAGACCUGACCGGCCGGCCCUACCCGGGCAUGGAGCCACCGGGACCCCAGGAGGAGAGGCUUGCCGUGCCUCCUGUGCUUACCCACAGGGCUCCCCAACCAGGCCCCUCACGGUCCGAGAAGACCGGGAAGACCCAGAGCAAGAUCUCGUCCUUCCUUAGACAGAGGCCAGCAGGGACUGUGGGGGCGGGCGGUGAGGAUGCAGGUCCCAGCCAGUCCUCAGGACCUCCCCACGGGCCUGCAGCAUCUGAGUGGGGUGAGCCUCAUGGGAGAGACAUCGCUGGGCAGCAGGCCACGGGAGCUCCGGGCGGGCCCCUCUCAGCAGGCUGUGUGUGCCAGGGCUGUGGGGCAGAGGACGUGGUGCCCUUCCAGUGCCCUGCCUGUGACUUCCAGCGCUGCCAAGCCUGCUGGCAACGGCACCUUCAGGCCUCUAGGAUGUGCCCAGCCUGCCACACCGCCUCCAGGAAGCAGAGCGUCAUGCAGGUCUUCUGGCCAGAGCCCCACAAGGACCAUGAGGGCGCUGGAGGGGCCAGGCCUGUCGCUGCUGUGCCUGGUGUUGGCGCUGCCUGCCCUGCUGCCGGUGCCGGCUGUACGCGGAGUGGCAGAAACACCCACCUACCCCUGGCGGGACGCAGAGACAGGGGAGCGGCUGGUGUGCGCCCAGUGCCCCCCAGGCACCUUUGUGCAGCGGCCGUGCCGCCGAGACAGCCCCACGACGUGUGGCCCGUGUCCACCGCGCCACUACACGCAGUUCUGGAACUACCUAGAGCGCUGCCGCUACUGCAACGUCCUCUGCGGGGAGCGUGAGGAGGAGGCACGGGCUUGCCACGCCACCCACAACCGUGCCUGCCGCUGCCGCACCGGCUUCUUCGCGCACGCUGGUUUCUGCUUGGAGCACGCAUCGUGUCCACCUGGUGCCGGCGUGAUUGCCCCGGGCACCCCCAGCCAGAACACGCAGUGCCAGCCGUGCCCCCCAGGCACCUUCUCAGCCAGCAGCUCCAGCUCAGAGCAGUGCCAGCCCCACCGCAACUGCACGGCCCUGGGCCUGGCCCUCAAUGUGCCAGGCUCUUCCUCCCAUGACACCCUGUGCACCAGCUGCACUGGCUUCCCCCUCAGCACCAGGGUACCAGGAGCUGAGGAGUGUGAGCGUGCCGUCAUCGACUUUGUGGCUUUCCAGGACAUCUCCAUCAAGAGGCUGCAGCGGCUGCUGCAGGCCCUCGAGGCCCCGGAGGGCUGGGGUCCGACACCAAGGGCGGGCCGCGCGGCCUUGCAGCUGAAGCUGCGUCGGCGGCUCACGGAGCUCCUGGGGGCGCAGGACGGGGCGCUGCUGGUGCGGCUGCUGCAGGCGCUGCGCGUGGCCAGGAUGCCCGGGCUGGAGCGGAGCGUCCGUGAGCGCUUCCUCCCUGUGCACUGAUCCUGGCCCCCUCUUAUUUAUUCUACAUCCUUGGCACCCCACUUGCACUGAAAGAGGCUUUUUUUUAAAUAGAAGAAAUGAGGUUUCUUAAAGCUUAUUUUUAUAAAGCUUUUUCAUAAAACUGGUUGUAGUUGC
Molecule: long non-coding RNA, 5772 nt
Organism: Homo sapiens (human)
Lineage: Eukaryota; Metazoa; Chordata; Mammalia; Primates; Hominidae
Gene: RTEL1-TNFRSF6B
Product: RTEL1-TNFRSF6B readthrough (NMD candidate)
Exons: 38
Source: RefSeq, marked validated